Molecule: ribosomal RNA, 774 nt
Filed under: uncultured Neocallimastigales
Lineage: Eukaryota; Fungi; Neocallimastigomycota; Neocallimastigomycetes; Neocallimastigales
Description: partial large subunit ribosomal RNA
Rfam family: Eukaryotic large subunit ribosomal RNA
Source: RNAcentral
CGCAUCUGUGCAUGCAGCAUAUCAAUAAGCGGAGGAAAAGAAACUAACAAGGAUUCCCCUAGUAACGGCGAGUGAAGCGGGAAGAGCUCAAAUUUGAAAUCUUAAAGGGUUUCCCUUUACGAAUUGUAGUUUAAAGAAGUGUUUUCUGUUGAGGUUUUGGUAAAAGUUCUUUGGAAUAGGACAUCAUAGAGGGUGAGAAUCCCGUAUUUGACCUUUACUUUCAACUUUGUGAUACACUUUCAAAGAGUCGGAUUGUUUGGGAAUGCAGUCCAAAAUGGGUGGUAAAUUUCAUCUAAAGCUAAAUAUUGGUGAGAGACCGAUAGCGAACAAGUACCGUGAGGGAAAGAUGAAAAGAACUUUGAAAAGAGAGUUAAACAGUACGUGAAAUUGUCAAAAGGGAAGCGUUUGACACCAGUGUUGUUUUUCUGAAAAUCAAUUAAAGAACUGUUUAUGCUAAGCUGUUUAGACUUUAUCAGCUAUCUGUUUAGUUUUGAGCUUUUCUUUAAUGCACUUUUCAGUUAACAAGUCAACAUCAAUUUCUUUUGCUGUGAAAAAGCUUGAGGAAGGUGGCUUGAGAUUCGUCUUAAGUGUUUAUAGCCUCUUGCCUAUGCAGUCGGAGAGAUUGAGGUCUGCAGCGUAGAUCCUUCGGGGCUAAAUGCAUUUGUGCUAAGUUAUAGCAUUUUAUAGACAACUUGUUGACUAUGAUUUGUCUUGUAGCUUACUCGCUUAUGUUAUUUUACCUACGCUUAGGAUGUUGAAUCUGUGCGAGACUAC